AGAGUUUGAUCAUGGCUCAGAGCGAACGCUGGCGGCAGGCUUAACACAUGCAAGUCGAGCGGGCGUAGCAAUACGUCAGCGGCAGACGGGUGAGUAACGCGUGGGAACAUACCUUUUUCGGAACAACCCAGGGAAACUUGGGCUAAUACCGGAUAAGCCCUUACGGGGAAAGAUUUAUCGCCGAAAGAUUGGCCCGCGUCUGAUUAGCUAGUUGGUGAGGUAAUGGCUCACCAAGGCGACGAUCAGUAGCUGGUCUGAGAGGAUGAUCAGCCACAUUGGGACUGAGACACGGCCCAAACUCCUACGGGAGGCAGCAGUGGGGAAUAUUGGACAAUGGGCGCAAGCCUGAUCCAGCCAUGCCGCGUGAGUGAUGAAGGCCCUAGGGUUGUAAAGCUCUUUUGUGCGGGAAGAUAAUGACGGUACCGCAAGAAUAAGCCCCGGCUAACUUCGUGCCAGCAGCCGCGGUAAUACGAAGGGGGCUAGCGUUGCUCGGAAUCACUGGGCGUAAAGGGUGCGUAGGCGGGUCUUUAAGUCAGGGGUGAAAUCCUGGAGCUCAACUCCAGAACUGCCUUUGAUACUGAAGAUCUUGAGUUCGGGAGAGGUGAGUGGAACUGCGAGUGUAGAGGUGAAAUUCGUAGAUAUUCGCAAGAACACCAGUGGCGAAGGCGGCUCACUGGCCCGAUACUGACGCUGAUGCACGAAAGCGUGGGGAGCAAACAGGAUUAGAUACCCUAGUAGUCC
RNAcentral lists this ribosomal RNA (741 nucleotides) under uncultured bacterium. RNAcentral describes it as "bacterial SSU rRNA". It matches the Rfam family "Bacterial small subunit ribosomal RNA", at positions 8 to 796 of the family's 1533-position model. The record is from RNAcentral.